GACGAACGCUGGCGGCAUGCCUAAUACAUGCAAGUCGAGCGGAGUUGAUGGAAAGCUUGCUUUCCUGAUACUUAGCGGCGGACGGGUGAGUAACACGUAGGCAACCUGCCCUCAAGCUUGGGACAACUACCGGAAACGGUAGCUAAUACCGAAUACUUGUUUUCUUCGCCUGAAGGAAACUGGAAAGACGGAGCAAUCUGUCACUUGGGGAUGGGCCUGCGGCGCAUUAGCUAGUUGGUGAGGCAACGGCUCACCAAGGCGACGAUGCGUAGCCGACCUGAGCGGGUGAUCGGCCACACUGGGACUGAGACACGGCCCAGACUCCUACGGGAGGCAGCAGUAGGGAAUCUUCCGCAAUGGGCGAAAGCCUGACGGAGCAAUGCCGCGUGAGUGAUGAAGGUUUUCGGAUCGUAAAGCUCUGUUGCCAGGGAAGAACGCUUGGGAGAGUAACUGCUCCCAAGGUGACGGUACCUGAGAAGAAAGCCCCGGCUAACUACGUGCCAGCCGCCGCGGUAA
Molecule: ribosomal RNA, 516 nt
Filed under: uncultured bacterium
Lineage: Bacteria
Description: partial 16S ribosomal RNA
Rfam family: Bacterial small subunit ribosomal RNA
Source: RNAcentral